UUUGGGUACAUUAUUGAAUGGAUGAUUGUUUCUAGAUUUAUUUUGAGUGCAAACAUUUAAACUUUUUUAGGCUUAGGAUGGUUUGAAGCUUUAGGUAUAGUGUAGAUUCACUGUAGAACCAUUUCUAUUAUUGAGGUCUAAAUAUUUGCCCUCCCUUGUUUAAUUGUGAUUUUGAUUUGCUCUCAUUGAUGUACAUUCUUUCAAUAUAACAAGGAGUAAAUAUAAGGCCAGGGAACAAUGAGUGAAUGGCAUUCAAGAUUAAAUCAUAUUCAGCAGCCAUACAAAAUUCCAUUGACCUAGAUUGAAACAAGAAAAAAG
Molecule: long non-coding RNA, 318 nt
Filed under: Mytilus galloprovincialis (Mediterranean mussel)
Lineage: Eukaryota; Metazoa; Mollusca; Bivalvia; Mytilida; Mytilidae
Source: RNAcentral